GACGAACGCUGGCGGCGUGCUUAAUACAUGCAAGUCAACGACUUUUAGAGUAGCAAUAUUCUAAAGGAAGUGGCGCACGGGUGAGUAACACGUAGGUAAUCUGCCUUCAGGACUGACACAACUCGUCGAAAGACGGGCUAAUAUCAGAUAAUGCAGCGGCUCCGCAUGGAGACAGUUGUUAAAGUACAAGCGCCUGAAGAUGAGCCUGCGGUCCAUUAGCUAGUUGGUAGAGUAAAAGCCUACCAAGGCAACGAUGGAUAGCUGGUCUGAGAGGAUGAUCAGCCACACUGGAACUGAGACACGGUCCAGACUCCUACGGGAGGCAGCAGUAAGGAAUAUUGCUCAAUGGACCGAAAGGCUGAAGCAGCAACGCCGCGUGAAGGAUGAAUGGCCUUUGGCCUGUAAACUUCU
This 411-nucleotide ribosomal RNA is filed under the name uncultured bacterium. RNAcentral describes it as "bacterial SSU rRNA". It matches the Rfam family "Bacterial small subunit ribosomal RNA", at positions 28 to 434 of the family's 1533-position model. The record is from RNAcentral.